UUGGAGAGUUUGAUCCUGGCUCAGAGUGAACGCUGGCGGCAUGGUUAAGACAUGCAAGUCGAACGAGAAGCUUAUCUUCGGAUUUGUGGAAAGUGGCGAACGGGUGCGUAACACGUGAGCAACCUGCCCUAAAGUACAGAACAGCCCGUCGAAAGAUGGAUUAAUGCUGUAUGUGGCCUUUUAUCGCAUGGUAAAAUGGUUAAAGCUUGUAAUGGCGCUUUAGGAUGGGCUCGCGGCCUAUCAGCUUGUUGGUGAGGUAAAAGCUCACCAAGGCUAAGACGGGUA
This 285-nucleotide ribosomal RNA is filed under the name Opitutia bacterium. RNAcentral's name for it is "partial 16S ribosomal RNA". It matches the Rfam family "Bacterial small subunit ribosomal RNA", at positions 1 to 285 of the family's 1533-position model. The record is from RNAcentral. Lineage: Bacteria; Pseudomonadati; Verrucomicrobiota; Opitutia.